Chrysemys picta bellii (western painted turtle) is the source of this 147-nucleotide non-coding RNA. Lineage: Eukaryota; Metazoa; Chordata; Testudines; Emydidae. The record is from RefSeq and is a predicted model, not a curated record.
GAGGAAGUGAGCAAGAGAAAGGAUAUUCCUGAGGGGGAAAAGGGAUCAUUGAUGGAAAGAAUAAGGAAACUUGAACAGGAAACAGAUGAAUUGGUGGUUAAAAUAGGAUCUGUCGAAAUGGGAAUUAAUUCAUUCGAAAAAUUAAAG